Molecule: RNA transcript, 827 nt
Organism: Papaver somniferum (opium poppy)
Lineage: Eukaryota; Viridiplantae; Streptophyta; Magnoliopsida; Ranunculales; Papaveraceae
Exons: 3
Source: RefSeq, a predicted model, not a curated record
CCAUUUUUGAUAUUGCCUACCCUAAAAAGAUUUGCCUCCACAUAGCUAGAUUUAUAGCGAACACAGAUCUCUCCAUAAAGAAAAACGCUCUCACACUUGAACCCAUUAUUUUCUGGUUUUUUCUUCAAAUCAGAUCUAGUUCGGUAAUAGCAACAAAAUUGAAUACCCGAAGCAACAAUCUAUUGAUCCGAUGUAGAAAAGAGAUGAAUCGCGAACAGUUUACCUCCGGGGUGCUGUCCUGGUUGCCGAACGGGAUCAAGUCAAGUUGGUGUUUUCAUAAUUGGAUAUGGCACCUUGGUACUGCAUCAACAGUUUCCAUAUACGUAUUUUCAGCCGUUAGCACAUUUUUCGGUAUUUCUACGGUGUUCUAUACUUGUACUGGUUGUUGGUGCUUGGGGGGUGCUGGGUGAUUUGAGUGGUUUUGCCUUAUCAAUCUGGUAAUCCUUCUUAGUUUAUGAAUUAUGGUUGCACUUUUGAUGGAAUUUUAUCACGCGCUGAUUAAUUCUGUAUUACUUUGGACAAACAUACUUUAUGAUUCUCUUACAAGCAGUUGCAUUCAAGGUAGCCGCCGCCUCUCAUUUAAUUUCAACAAUAACUUAAUGGGUUGUAAGAAGAUUUUCACCGGAUGUAUGACAUUCACUAAUACUCAUUGCGAUUGGAUAUUUGUUUAGUUCUACCUCAACCCUUGGUUGCUUGAUUAGUUAUAACUUCAUCAGUUAUUUUAAAUCUAAUUCAUUUGACUUAUUAUAUUUCUAGAAAAUUAUUAAAUAGUAUGGUUCAACAAAAUUUUGAAUCUGAUCGUAUAUAACCAACAAAUCACGUUAUUC